RNAcentral lists this long non-coding RNA (358 nucleotides) under Rattus norvegicus (Norway rat). RNAcentral's name for it is "long non-coding RNA NONRATT018966". Lineage: Eukaryota; Metazoa; Chordata; Mammalia; Rodentia; Muridae. The record is from RNAcentral.
AGCUGCUGGCGGCUGGUGGGGGGAUCUGAGUGCCUAGUCCAGCUUGGCACCUGGGCCGGACCCGACCCCCUCGGGGCAGCAGCUUCCUGGCCCUGGGUUCUCCAGUCCUUCGACCCGUGACGUUCCUGUUCCUUGGACCCCAAACUCCAGGAUCCCAGUGUGCGGCGGUCCAGACCCCCCCGCCCCGCCCCCGGCCUGUGAGCCUUGCCGCCCUUCAGCAUAGCGGUUGCGCGGAUCUACGUGGCCUUUCAGCGCUCAGGUCCCGAGCACUCUCAGACGCAGACUGGUUUUGCAGAGCCCAUUUGGCCGGGAAAGGGCCCCUGCCCUUCACUUCGAAAGAAGAUUCUGUCCAGAGGUG